CACGUGUGCAACCAACCCCGUACCGGGAGAUAACCCGCGGAAACGUGGACUAACACCCCAUAACACCUUUCCCCCGCAUGGGGGAGAGUUUAAAAUCACGAUGGUACGGGACGGGCACGCGCGACAUUAGGUAGUUGGCGGGGUAACGGCCCACCAAGCCGACGAUGUCUAGGGGUUCUGAGAGGAAGGUCCCCCACACUGGAACUGAGACACGGUCCAGACUCCUACGGGAGGCAGCAGUGAGGAAUAUUGGUCAAUGGGCGAGAGCCUGAACCAGCCAAGUCGCGUGAGGGAAGAAUGGUCUAUGGCCUGUAAACCUCUUUUGUCAAGGAAGAAUAAGCGGCACGAGUGCCACCUUGCCAGUACUUGACGAAUAAGCAUCGGCUAACUCCGUGCCAGCAGCCGCGGUAAUACGGGGGAUGCGAGCGUUAUCCGGAUUUAUUGGGUUUAAAGGGCGCGUAGGCGGGACGUCAAGUCAGCGGUAAGAGACUGCAGCUAAACUGUAGCACGCCGUUGAAACUGUCGACCUGGAGACGAGACGAGGGAGGCGGAACAAGUGAAGUAGCGGUGAAAUGCAUAGAUAUCACUUGGAACCCCGAUAGCGAAGGCAGCUUCCCAGGCUCGAUCUGACGCUGAUGCGCGAGAGCGUGGGUAGCGAACAGGAUUAGAUACCCUGGUAGUCCACGCCGUAAACGAUGCUCACUGGAUCUUGGCGAUACACGGCCAGGGUUCAAGCGAAAGUAUUAAGUGAGCCACCUGGGGAGUACGUCGGCAACGAUGAAACUCAAAGGAAUUGACGGGGGCCCGCACAAGCGGAGGAACAUGUGGUUUAAUUCGAUGAUACGCGAGGAACCUUACCCGGGUUUAAAUGCAGGUUGCAUGAGGUGGAAACACCUCUUUCCCUCGGGACUACCUGCAAGGUGCUGCAUGGUUGUCGUCAGCUCGUGCCGUGAGGUGUCGGGUUAAGUCCCAUAACGAGCGCAACCCCUAUCGCCAGUUGCCAUCGGUUCAAGCCGGGCACUCUGUCGAGACUGCCACCGUAAGGUGCGAGGAAGGCGGGGAUGACGUCAAAUCAGCACGGCCCUUACACCCGGGGCGACACACGUGUUACAAUGGCCGGUACAGAGGGCAGCCACGGGGCGACCCGGAGCGAAUCUCUAAAGCCGGUCGUAGUUCGGACUGGAGUCUGCAACCCGACUCCACGAAGUUGGAUUCGCUAGUAAUCGCGCAUCAGC
Molecule: ribosomal RNA, 1235 nt
Filed under: metagenome
Description: bacterial SSU rRNA
Rfam family: Bacterial small subunit ribosomal RNA
Source: RNAcentral